GGAAGUCUGGUGCCAGCAGCCGCGGUAAUUCCAGCUCCAAUAGCGUAUAUUAAAGUUGUUGCAGUUAAAAAGCUCGUAGUUGAACCUCGGGAUCAAUGGAUCGGUCAUGCCAUCGGUAUGUACUGGUCUCAUUGGUUCUCACCUUCUAAGGAGCCAUGAUGUCAUUCAGUUGAUGUUGUGGGGAAUUAGGACUGUUACCUUGAAAAAAUUAGAGUGUUUAAAGCAGGCUAACGCUUGAAUACAUUAGCAUGGAAUAAUGAAAUAGGACAUCGCAUUCUAUUUUGUUGGUUUCUAGGAUCGAUGUAAUGAUUAAUAGGGAUAGUUGGGGGCAUUAGUAUUCAAUUGUCAGAGGUGAAAUUCUUGGAUUUAUUGAAGACUAACUACUGCGAAAGCAUUUGCCAAGGAUGUUUUCAUUAAUCAAGAACGAAAGUUAGGGGAUCGAAGACGAUCAGAUACCGUCGUAGUCUUAACCAUAAACUAUGCCGACUAGGGAUCGGAUGAUGUUGAUUUUUUAAUGACUCAUUCGGCGCCUUACGGGAAAC
Molecule: ribosomal RNA, 542 nt
Filed under: uncultured Glomeromycotina
Lineage: Eukaryota; Fungi; Glomeromycota
Description: SSU rRNA
Rfam family: Eukaryotic small subunit ribosomal RNA
Source: RNAcentral